RNAcentral lists this long non-coding RNA (492 nucleotides) under Helianthus annuus (common sunflower). The record is from RNAcentral. Lineage: Eukaryota; Viridiplantae; Streptophyta; Magnoliopsida; Asterales; Asteraceae.
UUCGACAUAAUAAAUCCCUCUCCGUUACAAAACGUCUGUUCAUCUUCUCUCCAAUCUUCUUCCAAGAAUACCAAUCGGUUUCCAUAUCUAACAAUGAAUGUUGUCAACGAAGCUACAUAUAUAGAUGAUUACAUAUUCUUCAGUUUCUUCAUCGAUUUCGUCUUUUUUGUUCAUCGAUUUCAGAAGUUUCGUCGAUCGUCAACCAAAUCUGUAAGGUAAAACAAUGGAUGACACCAAAGCGGUACCAAUGUGGUAAAGUACCGAAAUAUCAGUACCGAUACCGGUACCGUACCGGUACCGAAUCUAUAAAUACGGUACGGUAAUCGGUAUCCACAUUUCCUCAAUUUCGGUAACGUACCGGUACCGGAAUCGUACCGAUCUCAUCCCUAGUGUUUAUGUAAUCUGUGUUUGUGGGUUUUCAAUAUGACUGAAACUUCAUCAAGGUAUUUUUUGUUUUUCAUGUUAUCAUUUGUUUCGAACAAUAACAAUAAC